ACGGGGGGAGCAAACGUUGUUCGGAAUCACUGGGCGUAAAGGGCGCGUAGGCGGCUAGGUAAGUGGAGUGUUAAAUCUCCCGGCUCAACCGGGAACCUGCACUUCAUACUGGCAGGCUUGAAUCCGGGAGAGGGAUGCGGAAUUCCAGGUGUAGCGGUGAAAUGCGUAGAUAUCUGGAGGAACACCGGUGGCGAAGGCGGCAUCCUGGACCGGUAUUGACGCUGAGGCGCGAAAGCCAGGGGAGCAAACGGGA
Molecule: ribosomal RNA, 253 nt
Filed under: uncultured prokaryote
Description: partial 16S ribosomal RNA
Rfam family: Bacterial small subunit ribosomal RNA
Source: RNAcentral